This 254-nucleotide ribosomal RNA is filed under the name uncultured bacterium. RNAcentral's name for it is "partial 16S ribosomal RNA". It matches the Rfam family "Bacterial small subunit ribosomal RNA", at positions 524 to 776 of the family's 1533-position model. The record is from RNAcentral.
UACGGGGGGAGCAAGCGUUGUUCGGAUUUACUGGGCGUAAAGGGCGCGUAGGCGGUCAGCACAAGUCAGUUGUGAAAUCUCCGGGCUUAACUCGGAACGGUCAAGUGAUACUGUCGGACUAGAGUACAGAAGGGGCAACUGGAAUUCUCGGUGUAGCGGUGAAAUGCGUAGAUAUCGAGAGGAACACCUGCGGCGAAGGCGGGUUGCUGGGCUGAUACUGACGCUGAGGCGCGAAAGCGUGGGGAGCAAACAGG